UACGGGGGGAGCAAGCGUUGUUCGGAUUUACUGGGCGUAAAGGGCGCGUAGGCGGCCACCGCAAGUCGACUGUGAAAUCUCCGGGCUUAACCCGGAAAGGUCAGCCGAUACUGCGGGGCUAGAGUGCAGAAGGGGCAACUGGAAUUCUCGGUGUAGCGGUGAAAUGCGUAGAUAUCGAGAGGAACACCUGCGGCGAAGGCGGGUUGCUGGGCUGACACUGACGCUGAGGCGCGAAAGCGUGGGGAUCAAACAGG
Molecule: ribosomal RNA, 254 nt
Filed under: uncultured bacterium
Lineage: Bacteria
Description: partial 16S ribosomal RNA
Rfam family: Bacterial small subunit ribosomal RNA
Source: RNAcentral